GACGAACGCUGGCGGCGUGCCUAACACAUGCAAGUCGAACGGAACUUUUUCAAAAGAAUCUUUCGGGAUGAUUUUGAUUAAGUUUAGUGGCGGACGGGUGAGUAACGCGUGAGUAACCUGCCUUUGAGAGGGGAAUAACAAUCUGAAAAGAUUGCUAAUACCGCAUAACAUAUAUGAAUCGCAUGGUUUGUAUAUCAAAGAUUUUAUCGCUGAAAGAUGAGCUCGCGUCUGAUUAGCUAGUUGGCGGGGUAACGGCCCACCAAGGCGACGAUCAGUAGCCGGACUGAGAGGUUGAACGGCCACAUUGGGACUGAGACACGGCCCAG
Molecule: ribosomal RNA, 326 nt
Filed under: uncultured bacterium
Lineage: Bacteria
Description: bacterial SSU rRNA
Rfam family: Bacterial small subunit ribosomal RNA
Source: RNAcentral